CUGAGUUGGAGGAGGUUAUUGAAACUUUCAAUCUAUAGCUGGUUGAUCAGAAGCACAGAGACUGACAAGAGCUUACUCGCUGUGACAAGCAAAGUCCUUGGAUUUGGCUCUAGAAAUCAACUGAGCAAAGUAUAUUUUAAGAAUUCACACAAUAAGCCAGUGAACAGCUGAAUAGUGUGUGCUAAGCACUUUAAAAUAUUAUGUGAAGAGAAAACUGAAGUGUAGAAAAAUUAAGAAGUUUCAUAAGGCCACAGAGCCAGUGGCAGAACCCAGAUAUGACCUAAGAAAUCUGACACUCCAGAGAGUAGCUUCUGGUUGUUGUUAUGGCAUUCACAUGUGAAAGUCAGCAGUAAAAUUCUCCACAGAAGCACUGGAGUUCAGAUGCGAUUGACUGGAAAACCAGCAUAAAGAGAAAAUAAUAGGCUAUCAUUAAGAGGAAGAAUGAUAGUUACCGUUCAUGAAGUACCAUUUGUAUGCUUUUCAUUUAUUAGCUUUAACGGUCAUAUAUCUUUUUUGUGUUUGUUGUAAAUACCAUUUUACAGUUGAGAAAUCUGGACUCAGCAAGUUCAACUUGAAAUAAGUAGAGAGCUGUUAAGUGGGAGGGAUGGGAUUCAAUCCUGAAUUUGUCUUCUUAUUUCACUAUGCCAUGCUGGCUUCUUGGCAAGAAAAAAAAAACACUAUUUGCAAAUAUUAAAAACAGCUGUAUCCUACUGUAUGCUUUCAUUUAUAUGAAAUUCUAGAAUAGGGAAAACUAAUCUGGAGAGACAGAAAGCAGAUCAGAGUUGCUGGAGGGCAGGGGAAAGGAAGGGACUUACUGCAAAGGAAUACAAGGGCAUUUUUAGAAUGAUGGCAAGAUUUUUUAUCUUGAAUAUG
Molecule: long non-coding RNA, 873 nt
Organism: Eptesicus fuscus (big brown bat)
Lineage: Eukaryota; Metazoa; Chordata; Mammalia; Chiroptera; Vespertilionidae
Exons: 3
Source: RefSeq, a predicted model, not a curated record